Molecule: unclassified non-coding RNA, 253 nt
Filed under: uncultured Caulobacteraceae bacterium
Lineage: Bacteria; Pseudomonadati; Pseudomonadota; Alphaproteobacteria; Caulobacterales; Caulobacteraceae
Description: contains 16S-23S intergenic spacer region
Rfam family: Bacterial small subunit ribosomal RNA
Source: RNAcentral
UACGAAGGGGGCUAGCGUUGCUCGGAUUUACUGGGCGUAAAGGGCGCGUAGGCGGAUGACCAAGUUGGGGGUGAAAGCCCGGGGCUCAACCUCGGAAUUGCCUUCAAAACUGGUUGUCUUGAGUAUGGGAGAGGUGUGUGGAACUCCGAGUGUAGAGGUGAAAUUCGUAGAUAUUCGGAAGAGCACCAGUGGCGAAGGCGACACACUGGCCCAUUACUGACGCUGAGGCGCGAAAGCGUGGGGAGCAAACAGG